CUUCGGGUUGUAAAGCUCUUUCAGCUGGAACGAAACGGUACGCUCUAACAUAGCGUGCUAAUGACGGUACCAGCAGAAGAAGCACCGGCUAACUACGUGCCAGCAGCCGCGGUAAUACGUAGGGUGCGAGCGUUAAUCGGAAUUACUGGGCGUAAAGCGUGCGCAGGCGGAUUGUUAAGCAAGAUGUGAAAUCCCCGGGCUUAACCUGGGAAUGGCAUUUUGAACUGGCAGUCUAGAGUGUGUCAGAGGGGGGUGGAAUUCCACGUGUAGCAGUGAAAUGCGUAGAUAUGUGGAGGNAACACCAAUGGCGAAGGCAGCCCCCUGGGAUAACACUGACGCUCAUGUACGAAAAGCGUGGGUAGCAAACAGGAUUAGAUACCCUGGUAUCCACCCCUAACGAUGUCANUGGUUGUUGGGGGA
Molecule: ribosomal RNA, 420 nt
Filed under: uncultured bacterium
Lineage: Bacteria
Description: bacterial SSU rRNA
Rfam family: Bacterial small subunit ribosomal RNA
Source: RNAcentral